AUCUAGGCUCUUGCAUCGAUGAAGAACGUAGCGAAAUGCGAUACUUGGUGUGAAUUGCAGAAUCCCGUGAACCAUCGAGUCUUUGAACGCAAGUUGCGCCCGAUGCCAUUAGGUUGAGGGCACGUCUGCCUGGGUGUCACAUAUCGAAGCCUCCUGCCAAUUUC
RNAcentral lists this ribosomal RNA (164 nucleotides) under Lathyrus clymenum. RNAcentral describes it as "5.8S ribosomal RNA". The stretch from base 1 to 139 matches the Rfam family "5.8S ribosomal RNA", at positions 18 to 154 of the family's 154-position model. Rfam says of the family: 5.8S ribosomal RNA (5.8S rRNA) is a component of the large subunit of the eukaryotic ribosome. Lineage: Eukaryota; Viridiplantae; Streptophyta; Magnoliopsida; Fabales; Fabaceae. RNAcentral also lists the same sequence under 72 other names. The record is from RNAcentral.